This is a long non-coding RNA of Nematostella vectensis (starlet sea anemone), 788 nucleotides long. RefSeq lists it as uncharacterized. The record is from RefSeq and is a predicted model, not a curated record. The transcript has 3 exons. NCBI's taxonomy places the organism in Eukaryota, Metazoa, Cnidaria, Anthozoa, Actiniaria, Edwardsiidae.
ACCGCACUGGGUGUUGCGUGGUUCCUCCUUGUGGGUGACUGAUCGCUCGUGCCCAGGCCACUCGUACUCUGUCUAUGCGCGCGUUAGUUCACACGUGGGUUGGAUCAAGAGCGAGAUCGGAGAUGGCGGGACAGAUUCCGGUUCCUCAGGCGGCAAUGCUGACUGCAGAGACACCUGGUGUGCUGGUGUGUUCGGUACGCCAAAUUCUGUGGAACGACUGCAAGUAUCAAAAACGUUGCAAGAAGACCUGCAAUAAGUGCUGAAGUGAGUGCUUCUAGCUUUAAAAUCAAACCUACGACGGCGCUUAAAAAGUGUGCUCUCAGAACUUGUUUUCGUGCACAGCAGCUCGGUGUAAUGAUUUUAUUUGAUAUUUGAUUUUCUUUUUUUUUUCUUUUUUCUAGAUACAGAUCGUAUAUAAUAUAAAAAUAAUAAUAUAAUAUAAAAUGAAAAUUUUUGGAGUGACACUCGCGGGGCAGGAAGCCCACGCCAGCGGUUUGAAUAACCUCAGUAGUAGCCUGCGAAAGAAGACUGCUUUCGAAAAGAUAAUAGAAACCACUAAUCAUCAAACUUCGCAACAUCAAAAGCAAAACGCCGUUUUUUUCAAAAGCUGGCUGAAUAAAAUGUAAAAAUUCUUUAGCAAUGACCGCCGCAGUUGAAAAAAAAAAUACACACCGCACCAUUAAAUCACGGUAGCAAGUAAACUUUGUCAUUAUUCUUUCAAAACUUGAGUUGGAUUUUCUGACAAAGUAUCUCAAGCUCCCUUGGUCUAAUCGAAAAAAUACGGUAUU